This 484-nucleotide ribosomal RNA is filed under the name uncultured bacterium. Its description in RNAcentral is "partial 16S ribosomal RNA". It matches the Rfam family "Bacterial small subunit ribosomal RNA", at positions 28 to 523 of the family's 1533-position model. The record is from RNAcentral.
GAUGAACGCUGGCGGCGUGCUUAACACAUGCAAGUCGAACGGUGAAGCAGGAGCUUGCUCUUGUGGAUCAGUGGCGAACGGGUGAGUAACACGUGAGCAACCUGCCCCUGACUCUGGGAUAAGCGCUGGAAACGGCGUCUAAUACUGGAUAUGUGAUGUGACCGCAUGGUCUGCAUCUGGAAAGAAUUUCGGGUGGGGAUGGGCUCGCGGCCUAUCAGCUUGUUGGUGAGGUAAUGGCUCACCAAGGCGUCGACGGGUAGCCGGCCUGAGAGGGUGACCGGCCACACUGGGACUGAGACACGGCCCAGACUCCUACGGGGGGCAGCAGUGGGGAAUAUUGCACCAUGGGCGGAAGCCUGAUGCAGCAACGCCGCGUGAGGGAUGACGGCCUUCGGGUUGUAAACCUCUUUUAGCAGGGAAGAAGCGAAAGUGACGGUACCUGCAGAAAGAGCACCGGCUAACUACGUGCCAGCCGCCGCCGUAA